AUAAUUAUUAUAUCAAGAGGUUUAAUUAUUAUAUCAAGUAGUAUAGAGAAGUUUUUUAUGUAUCUUUCCUUUGGUCUUCUUUCUCUGUACUCCGUCUCUGUGUUGAAGUUUGGGUCUUAGCAUUGGCCAUUGCUGUGGUUUCCAUCACCAUUGCUCUCUAUAACCUCAACCUCUCUCCUUCCACAACCACCACCGACACCACCACCACCACCACCACCACCACCAUUGCUCUCCAGAAAUGUGACCGGACAAAUGGAACUCACGAUUGAUAGAUUUGUACAAGUGGCUGUGUUUUUGACGGUUGAUCUGGAAGGGUGUGGGCAGUUUAGCAGUGUACAGAAAGCUAUAGAAGUUGCUCCCCUGUGAAGUUCUUCUAAGACCCUCAUAAUCAUCGUUGAUGUGGGUACUUACAGGGAGAAGGUGAAAGUGGAUCAAAACAAAACAAAUAUGAUAUUGGAAGGCAAGGGUUAUCUCAACAAAACAAAUUACACGAAGAGAGUGUCAUAUGCAAAGCAGAUCAAUCAAUCUGAAGCAGCUCAUUUCAUAUGCAAGGGGUGAAAUAUGAAAUGAGGGUCUCAUAAGCAAAUAAAUAAAAGAAGGUUAUUUUUCUUUUAUUUAAUCAGCAAGAGGUGACAUGAGCCGUAUUAAUGGGGAAAAGAAAAAUACAGAGAAAAUUAUUUCUCUUGACUACUAGUCAAAUACUUUACAGUGCCAACGCAGUUCUACUCUCUUUUUACGUUGGUCUCAGGAAAAAGAGGGAGCUUGUUACCUGUAAGUACCCACAUCAAUGAUGAUGAGGGUCUAAGAAGAACUCCACAGGGGAGCAGCUUCUACAGCUUUCUGUACACUGCGAAACUGCGCACACCCUUCCAAGUCAACCAUCAAAACCACAGCCACCUUGUUCAUAUCUAUCAGUCGUGAUUUUCAUUUGUCCGGGUCACAUUUUUGGAGAGCAAUGGUGGUGGUGGUGGUGGUGGUUGUGGAAGGAGAGAAGUUAUAGAGAGCAAAGGUAAUGGAAAGCACAGCAAUGGCCAAUGGCCAAUGCUAAGACCCCAAAAUCUUCCUUUCAUGGCUGAAGAAGAAACUUCAACAAGGAGACGGAGUACAGAGGAAGAAGACCAAAGGAAAGAUAUAUAAAACCUUCUAUAUACACUAAAUUAUAUGAUAAUGAAACCUUCUCUAUGCUACGACAUUAAUGGUUUUAAGCUCUUCUCUCAUUAUUUUGGCUUGCUAUUUUAGAAUAUGUGUGGCUAUGCGUCUUUGUAUAUGUAUACAUAUAAAGGGAGCCUUUCUCUUGAUCAAUAUAUCGAAAUAGGCCGAAUCAUUGUACUUUGAUUAGAUAAAACAAUAUACAACCAUGAUAAUAUCCACAUUGAUGCAUAGACAAAAUCAGAGAUUUAAGUCCAGUUAAUCAGCCCAAACUAAUAAUCUUCAUUUUGAGUUGCCUCUCAAAUUAACUCUGAGAUUUGCUCUAUGUGUCCUCAACCACCAACAGCCAGUCCAAAUUAAAUCAAAUGGAAGUCAAAGUGGGCGCACAACCUUCUCCUAAGGUGGGCACGAGUACAACCUUAAUAUGUAACGAGGCUCUGCAUAAUUAGUCUUCUGUAACAUACUAAACUGGCUGUCAAAACAAAAGCCUUCCUCAACUUGUUUAUGAUAUAAUGCCUCGGAGACGAAUAUACUAUAUAUGAAGCUUUUCAUGUCUAUUUUAUACUA
Molecule: long non-coding RNA, 1716 nt
Organism: Ziziphus jujuba (common jujube)
Lineage: Eukaryota; Viridiplantae; Streptophyta; Magnoliopsida; Rosales; Rhamnaceae
Exons: 2
Source: RefSeq, a predicted model, not a curated record